This 1752-nucleotide ribosomal RNA is filed under the name Neisseria meningitidis. RNAcentral's name for it is "bacterial LSU rRNA". It matches the Rfam family "Bacterial large subunit ribosomal RNA", at positions 1 to 1793 of the family's 2925-position model. Lineage: Bacteria; Pseudomonadati; Pseudomonadota; Betaproteobacteria; Neisseriales; Neisseriaceae. The record is from RNAcentral.
AUAGAGUCAAGUGAAUAAGUGCAUCAGGCGGAUGCCUUGGCGAUGAUAGGCGACGAAGGACGUGUAAGCCUGCGAAAAGCGCGGGGGAGCCGGCAAUAAAGCAAUGAUUCCGCGAUGUCCGAAUGGGGAAACCCACUGCAUUCUGUGCAGUAUCCUAAGUUGAAUACAUAGACUUAGAGAAGCGAACCCGGAGAACUGAACCAUCUAAGUACCCGGAGGAAAAGAAAUCAACCGAGAUUCCGCAAGUAGUGGCGAGCGAACGCGGAGGAGCCUGUACGUAAUAACUGUCGAGAUAGAAGAACAAGCUGGAAGCUGACCAUAGUGGGUGACAGUCCCGUAUUCGAAAUCUCAACAGCGGUACUAAGCGUACGAAAAGUAGGCGGGACACGUGAAAUCCUGUCUGAAUAUGGGGGACCAUCCUCCAAGGCUAAAUACUCAUCAUCGACCGAUAGUGAACCAGUACCGUGAGGGAAAGGCGAAAAGAACCCGGAGGGGAGUGAACAGAACCUGAAACCUGAUGCAUACAAACAGUGGGAGCGCCCUAGAGGUGUGACUGCGUACCUUUUGUAUAAUGGGUCAACGACUUACAUUCAGUAGCGAGCUUAACCGAAUAGGGGAGGCGUAGGGAAACCGAGUCUUAAUAGGGCGAUGAGUUGCUGGGUGUAGACCCGAAACCGAGUGAUCUAUCCAUGGCCAGGUUGAAGGUGCCGUAACAGGUACUGGAGGACCGAACCCACGCAUGUGCAAAAUGGGGAUGAGCUGUGGAUAGGGGUGAAAGGCUAAACAAACUCGGAGAUAGCUGGUUCUCCCCGAAAACUAUUUAGGUAGUGCCUCGAGCAAGAACUGAUGGGGUAAAGCACUGUUAUGGCUAGGGGGUUAUUGCAACUUACCAACCCAUGGCAAACUCAGAAUACCAUCAAGUGGUUCCUCGGAGACAGACAGCGGGUGCUAACGUCCGUUGUCAAGAGGGAAACAACCCAGACCGCCAGCUAAGGUCCCCAAUGAUAGAUUAAGUGGUAAACGAAGUGGGAAGGCCCAGACAGCCAGGAUGUUGGCUUAGAAGCAGCCAUCAUUUAAAGAAAGCGUAAUAGCUCACUGGUCGAGUCGUCCUGCGCGGAAGAUGUAACGGGGCUCAAAUCUAUAACCGAAGCUGCGGAUGCCGGUUUAUCGGCAUGGUAGGGAGCGUUCUGUAGGCCGAUGAAGGUGCAUUGUAAAGUGUGCUGGAGGUAUCAGAAGUGCGAAUGUUGACAUGAGUAGCGAUAAAGCGGGUGAAAAGCCCGCUCGCCGAAAGCCCAAGGUUUCCUGCGCAACGUUCAUCGGCGUAGGUGAGUCGGCCCCUAAGGCGAGGCAGAAAUGCGUAGUCGAUGGGAAACAGGUUAAUAUUCCUGUACUUGAUUCAAAUGCGAUGUGGGGACGGAGAAGGUUAGGUUGGCAAGCUGUUGGAAUAGCUUGUUUAAGCCGGUAGGUGGAAGACUUAGGCAAAUCCGGGUCUUCUUAACACCGAGAAGUGACGACGAGUGUCUACGGACACGAAGCAACCGAUACCACGCUUCCAGGAAAAGCCACUAAGCUUCAGUUUGAAUCGAACCGUACCGCAAACCGACACAGGUGGGCAGGAUGAGAAUUCUAAGGCGCUUGAGAGAACUCAGGAGAAGGAACUCGGCAAAUUGAUACCGUAACUCGGGAGAAGGUAUGCCCUCUAAGGUUAAGGACUUGCUCCGUAAGCCCCGGAGGGUCGCAGAGAAUAGGUGG